This 801-nucleotide ribosomal RNA is filed under the name uncultured Mycobacterium sp. Its description in RNAcentral is "bacterial SSU rRNA". It matches the Rfam family "Bacterial small subunit ribosomal RNA", at positions 541 to 1340 of the family's 1533-position model. The record is from RNAcentral. Lineage: Bacteria; Bacillati; Actinomycetota; Actinomycetes; Mycobacteriales; Mycobacteriaceae.
UUGUCCGGAAUUACUGGGCGUAAAGAGCUCGUAGGUGGUUUGUCGCGUUGUUCGUGAAAUCUCACGGCUUAACUGUGAGCGUGCGGGCGAUACGGGCAGACUUGAGUACUGCAGGGGAGACUGGAAUUCCUGGUGUAGCGGUGGAAUGCGCAGAUAUCAGGAGGAACACCGGUGGCGAAGGCGGGUCUCUGGGCAGUAACUGACGCUGAGGAGCGAAAGCGUGGGGAGCGAACAGGAUUAGAUACCCUGGUAGUCCACGCCGUAAACGGUGGGUACUAGGUGUGGGUUUCCUUCCUUGGGAUCCGUGCCGUAGCUAACGCAUUAAGUACCCCGCCUGGGGAGUACGGCCGCAAGGCUAAAACUCAAAGAAAUUGACGGGGGCCCGCACAAGCGGCGGAGCAUGUGGAUUAAUUCGAUGCAACGCGAAGAACCUUACCUGGGUUUGACAUGCACAGGACGCCGGCAGAGAUGUCGGUUCCCUUGUGGCCUGUGUGCAGGUGGUGCAUGGCUGUCGUCAGCUCGUGUCGUGAGAUGUUGGGUUAAGUCCCGCAACGAGCGCAACCCUUGUCUCAUGUUGCCAGCGGGUAAUGCCGGGGACUCGUGAGAGACUGCCGGGGUCAACUCGGAGGAAGGUGGGGAUGACGUCAAGUCAUCAUGCCCCUUAUGUCCAGGGCUUCACACAUGCUACAAUGGCCGGUACAAAGGGCUGCGAUGCCGCGAGGUUAAGCGAAUCCUUUUAAAGCCGGUCUCAGUUCGGAUCGGGGUCUGCAACUCGACCCCGUGAAGUCGGAGUCGCUAGUA